RNAcentral lists this ribosomal RNA (245 nucleotides) under uncultured bacterium. RNAcentral describes it as "partial small subunit ribosomal RNA". It matches the Rfam family "Bacterial small subunit ribosomal RNA", at positions 26 to 285 of the family's 1533-position model. The record is from RNAcentral.
AGAAUCAACGCUGGCGGCGUGCCUAACACAUGCAAGUCGCACGAGAAAGGGAUUUCGGUCCUGAGUAAAGUGGCGCACGGGUGAGUAACACGUGAAUCAUCUACCUCCGAAUGGGGAAUAACUGAGAGAAAUCUUAGCUAAUACCGCAUAAUACCCACGGGUCAAAGCAGUAAUGCGCUUGGAGAGGAGUUCGCGGCAGAUUAGUUAGUUGGCGGGGUAAUGGCCCACCAAGACGAUGAUCUGUA